RNAcentral lists this ribosomal RNA (497 nucleotides) under uncultured bacterium. RNAcentral describes it as "partial 16S ribosomal RNA". It matches the Rfam family "Bacterial small subunit ribosomal RNA", at positions 28 to 507 of the family's 1533-position model. The record is from RNAcentral.
GAUGAACGCUGGCGGCGUGCCUAAUACAUGCAAGUCGAGCGAACGGACGAGAAGCUUGCUUCUCUGAUGUUAGCGGCGGACGGGUGAGUAACACGUGGAUAACCUACCUAUAAGACUGGGAUAACUUCGGGAAACCGGAGCUAAUACCGGAUAAUAUUUUGAACCGCAUGGUUCAACAGUGAAAGACGGUCUUGCUGUCACUUAUAGAUGGAUCCGCGCUGCAUUAGCUAGUUGGUAAGGUAACGGCUUACCAAGGCAACGAUGCAUAGCCGACCUGAGAGGGUGAUCGGUCACACUGGAACUGAGACACGGUCCAGACUCCUACGGGAGGCAGCAGUAGGGAAUCUUCCGCAAUGGGCGAAAGCCUGACGGAGCAACGCCGCGUGAGUGAUGAAGGUCUUCGGAUCGUAAAACUCUGUUAUUAGGGAAGAACAUAUGUGUAAGUAACUGUGCACAUCUUGACGGUACCUAAUCAGAAAGCCACGGCUAACUACGUG